This 1277-nucleotide long non-coding RNA is filed under the name Felis catus (domestic cat). RNAcentral describes it as "lncRNA (ENSFCAG00000050368.1)". Lineage: Eukaryota; Metazoa; Chordata; Mammalia; Carnivora; Felidae. The record is from RNAcentral.
GUAUUUCAUAUGUUUAUGUCCUCUGUAUGGGAUCUUCUGGGCACCAGUCCCCAUUGGUCAAAUCCCACUGGAACCAGUAAGAAGAGAGCAAAAUAGAAGAGGAGAAGGAAUCUGGAGGGGCAAAUGGAAGAUAUGUGGCAUGAGAUAUUAGAAGGAGCGUAUUCCCAGAAAAUAGUUCCAAAGGAGGACUGCCAAGAGGCAGCAUCUUGAAAAUGCACACAUUGUCCUAUUCUCUGAUUAGCCAAGUUGACAGAAACCAAUCUGUAGCUGAUGUUUUGAUGGUUAACAAUGUUCUCCAGAAAUUAGGCCUUGUACACCUGACCAUGAAUAUGUCUACAAAUGAUUCAGGAAGCAUGUUUCCAUCCCUUCUAGGCAGGCUGAGCUAUUUUUUGUGCCCACAGAAGUUCUUACAAGCUUCAUGGUAGGUCUUGCUGGUAUUGGAAAUUUGAUAAGAAUUAAAUCCAAAAAAAAAAAAAAAACAAAACUAAACUAAGCAAAUCUCUUUUAUACAUUGUAUAGACACAGCAACCAGUUAAAAUAAGUUUAAAGAUUUUCAACAGUAGUUUAUGCUAUCAUCCACAUGUAAUUAUAUUUAAACUCUGGAAGCCUAUAUUUUGCAUUUAAGUGGUAUAAAUAGUUUAUUCUUUCCAGCAGGUAUUUGAUAAGCUCUACUAUGUUCUAGGCAGAUUUCUAGGAGCUAGGGAAAUAGUGUAUAAUAAGAUAGAUAAUAGUGUAAUUUAUGUACCAGUGGGUAUACAGGCAAAAUACAUGUGAAGGUCAUUUUAGAUAGACUUAAGGCAAUGAAAAAUAUAAAAUAGGGUAUUGUAAUAGAGGGUUUAAGGAUGUUGGGUUUAACUUGAAAUGGGUAGUCAAUAAGGAGGUGAGUUUUGCAUUUAGAGCGGAAAGACAAGAAUAUGUUAGCAAUAUGAGGACGUGGGGUCAGCAUUCCAGGGAGAGUGAAGAGAAAGUACAGACUCCAAGGCAGAGACAAUGUUGGUUGUCCAAGGACCAUAAAGUAGGACAAUGUGGCUGAAGUGGCUGGAGAAGAAGAGGGGCAGGAACUAUGUUUGGAAAGGUAGUCAGAGACAAGUCAGGUACGCCUUUGGGCCAGGGAAGAUGGUUUGGAUUUUAUUGCUAGUGCAGUGGGAAUUUAUGCAAGAGUGAGAGGUAGCAAUUCUAAUUAAUCACUCAUUUUGUAAUACUGUUGUUUUGCAGUGUGUGUGCAUCUACCUUUUCAUUUUAAUAAAAGGUUAAACAGUUUCUGUGUUCUAGAAUUU